UUUUGUUUUUUUUUUUGCUUGUGAGAAAUCAUCUGGUUUUAUUGAGAAGCUGUUGGUCAUUUGAUGGAAAGACAUAUAUGGUACACAAUUACAGGUGGUUUAGUUCAUUACAUGAUACAAAUCAUUAGAGUCUUUACAAGUCAUUACAGUCUUUGGAUUUUUUAAACUCCCAUUUACUGUGUACCAAAUCAAUAUAAUCCCAGAAUCAAAGUCACUUCUUUAUAUGUGAACUCCUCGCAUUUACACGAAUCCACACAUAGAGAAGCUGUUCUAAGACCCCCCAACACCAUUAGUGUCAGCAGCCCACCAGGAAGGCACCGCGGACUCUGCAGAGAAAGAUGCUUUGGGGUUCAAUGGGUCAGUAUCUUGGGCAGGAAGCACAGGGUCACUCCCGUCUUGUGUGCGUGCACACAGCCACACACACACACUCAGGACUUCCUGUUUCACAUACAGGGAACUUUUAAGGCAAGAGGAGAAAAUGCUAGGAAGUAACAGGGGGAUCUGAACACCUCCACCGGUCACCGUCCCAGCUCCGUUCUCUUAUUGAACACACAAGGCCCACCUUGGUGGGACCAGAAACACCUUCCCCUCCUCAGCUCCGCCCUCCCACUCCCUCUGGUCAGGCCUGAGCACCCGGGACUCCAGUCACACGCCUGCCCCUGUCCCCUCUGCUGCCGGACGCAGGGCCCUGGGCAGAAGUGAGCCUUCUCACCCUGGAGCCUCCGUCCUUCACAAGGGCCCAAGGGAAGUGGCGGGGCAGGGCCAGGGACGUUCUAGGCACGCAGUGGGGAGGCAGAGCCCCCAGAAGCAUCUCCCAUCCCCAUCUCUGACAGCACCUUGUGUGCGGUUACUGCCCUUCCCGACCUCGGGUGCCAUCUGCGGGCCAACCCGCACUAAGGUGCCACUCCUGGGGCAUUCCAGGAGCGCUUCAGGAGUCCUAAGGCAGGUAGGCGGGCAGGCAUUCUUGGGAGGAGAGUCUGCUGGUCAGGGAGGCAAGAAGUGCAGACUAGAAGACGGAGGCCAGCCCGUCCUGGCCACCACUCUUGAGACCGCACCUCCUGCCAUCGCUGGCCCGGGUUGGCGGGGCUCAAUGCCUUAGUGACCACAGCGCUGCACGUCCCUCUUUCCCAGCCACAAGCUGACAUUAGUCUGCACCGAGAAGCAAGAGUGAACAGGGCCUGGGCCCAAGUCCACCUGCUCCAAUCAGGAACUCUGGCUCGUUCUACUCCACUGUGAGUCAAACCGAUGGUAAAAAGCACGGCACACCCGUCCCCCAGGACUUUCCCGAGACGGUGCCACAGGAGGCCACUGCUGGGUGGAUGGCUCAGCCACCACGAAGUUCCAGGUCCCACCCACACUGCCCAACCGCCAUUCCCAGAGCGUCCCCACUACACAGCCCAGGGGCUCCCCCUCAGGGCAACAGCAGUGCCGGCCUCUCACCCAGGCCACAGUGACACCAGCAGACCCAGAAACCAACUUCUGAGUGAAACGGGUUUUAAAAAGAAAGCUGCUGUGCUGGGAAGCGGGUUGAGUUAAAGGGCAAGGCAGAGGUGACAGCUCUUCAUCCAGGGACAGGUGCCACAGGGUUCCCUCGAAACUCUGGCUAAGAACAGGGAGAGCCCUGCAGGGAGUGCCUCCCCGCAGGGGCCAGGCCCUCUGCCAGCCCGGCCUCGGCCUUCGUGUCCCUCACAGCAACUGGGGAGAAAAAGACAACCUGUCCUCGUAGCCAGGGCUGGGACAGGCCCACCAUGGAGGCCACUCCGUUGGAGGCUUCAAGACCCUGGAGAACGAGGCUUCCACAGCGCUUUCUAGGUGUUGUCUAAACAUGAGAACUAGAAACCAGCUCCAAGAGUGGCUGUAUGAAUCCUGACCCAGGGCUCCUGUCCCUCGAUUGGUGGCCUUCCACACACAGACACUAACCGCCACCCCACAAACCUGCCACCAAAGGCUCCAGGAGCAGAAGUGCCCCAGCAAGGAGGUGGAGGCCACCCUGGAAGCUUCCGGCUGUGUCGCCCGCACCAUGCACAGUGGGCCUGGGGGCGCAGCUGCUGCCAGGGUCCGGACACAAACCAGGCACACUCCCUGUACCCGCCCAGCCGCCAAGUCCCAGCCCUAUACUCUCAGGGUCUGGGAGUUGCCAAGAAGUUAAAAUGAUCCAAAGACCUUCCUAGAAACCAAAA
RNAcentral lists this long non-coding RNA (2180 nucleotides) under Macaca fascicularis (crab-eating macaque). RNAcentral's name for it is "lncRNA (ENSMFAG00000063991.1)". The record is from RNAcentral. Lineage: Eukaryota; Metazoa; Chordata; Mammalia; Primates; Cercopithecidae.